RNAcentral lists this transfer RNA (69 nucleotides) under Cordylochernes scorpioides. RNAcentral's name for it is "tRNA-Gly". It matches the Rfam family "tRNA". Rfam says of the family: Transfer RNA (tRNA) molecules are approximately 80 nucleotides in length. Their secondary structure includes four short double-helical elements and three loops (D, anti-codon, and T loops). Lineage: Eukaryota; Metazoa; Arthropoda; Arachnida; Pseudoscorpiones; Chernetidae. The record is from RNAcentral.
GCUUUUGGUUCAGUGGUAGAAUGCUCGUCUGCCACGUGGGCGCCCCGUGUUCGAUUCCCGGCAGAUGCA